RNAcentral lists this ribosomal RNA (913 nucleotides) under uncultured archaeon. RNAcentral's name for it is "bacterial SSU rRNA". It matches the Rfam family "Archaeal small subunit ribosomal RNA", at positions 1 to 922 of the family's 1478-position model. The record is from RNAcentral.
UUCUGGUUGAUCCUGCCGGACCUGGCUGCUAUCGGAUUGGUACUAAGCCAUGCGAGUCAGUGUAGCAAUACACUGCAGACGGCUCAGUAACACGUGGUCAAGCUAACCUAUGGACGUGGAUAACCUCGGGAAACUGAGAAUAAACCGCGAUAGAUCAUGGUGCCUGGAAUGGCCCAUGGUCGAAAUAGUUUACUGCCGUAGGAUGCGACUGCGGCCUAUCAGUUUGUUGGUGAGGUAAUGGCCCACCAAGGCGAUUACAGGUACGGGCUCUGAGAGGAGAAGCCCGGAGAUGGGUACUGAGACACGGACCCAGGCCCUAUGGGGCGCAGCAGGCGAGAAACCUUAGCAAUGUGCGAAAGCACGACUGGGUCAGUCCGAGUGAUUCCUGAUAAAGGAGUCUUUUGCCUGUCCUAAAAGCACAGGUGAAUAAGGGGUGGGCAAGUCUGGUGUCAGCCGGCGCGGUAAUACCAGCACCUCGAGUGGUCAGGACGUUUAUUGGGCCUAAAGCAUCCGUAGCCGGCUUUGCAAGUCUUCGGUUAAAUCCACCUGCUCAACAGAUGGGCCGCUGGAGAUACUACAGAGCUAGGGAGUGGGAGAGGCAGACGGUAUUCAGUGGGUAGGGGUAAAAUCCUCUGAUCCAUUGAGGACCACCAGUGGCGAAGGCGGUCUGCCAGAACACGUUCGACGGUGAGGGAUGAAAGCUGGGGGAGCAAACCGGAUUAGAUACCCGGGUAGUCCCAGCUGUAAACGAUGCAAACUCGGUGAUGCAUUGGCUUAUGGCCAAUGCAGUGCCGCAGGGAAGCCGUUAAGUUUGCCGCCUGGGAAGUACGGACGCAAGUCUGAAACUUAAAGGAAUUGGCGGGGGAGCACCACAAGGGGUGAAGCCUGCGGUUCAAUUGGAGUCAACGCCGGG